GAUGAAGAACGUAGCGAAAUGCGAUAAGUAAUGUGAAUUGCAGAAUUCAGUGAAUCAUCGAAUCUUUGAACGCACAUUGCGCCCCCUGGUAUUCCGGGGGGCAUGCCUGUCCGAGCGUCAUUACAACCCUCAAGCUCAGCUUGGUGUUGGGCCCCGUCGCCCCGGCGGGCCCUAAAGUCAGUGGCGGUGCCGUCCGGCUCCGAGCGUAGUAAUUCUUCUCGCUCUGGAGGUCCGGUCGUGUGCUCGCCAGCAACCCCCAAUUUUUUUCAGGUUGACCUCGGAUCAGGUAGGGAUACCCGCUGAACUUAAGCAUAUCAAUAAGCGGAGGA
Molecule: unclassified non-coding RNA, 329 nt
Filed under: soil metagenome
Description: partial contains 5.8S ribosomal RNA, internal transcribed spacer 2, and large subunit ribosomal RNA
Rfam family: 5.8S ribosomal RNA (bases 1-120)
Source: RNAcentral